This 253-nucleotide ribosomal RNA is filed under the name uncultured bacterium. Its description in RNAcentral is "partial 16S ribosomal RNA". It matches the Rfam family "Bacterial small subunit ribosomal RNA", at positions 524 to 776 of the family's 1533-position model. The record is from RNAcentral.
UACGUAGGAUGCAAGCGUUGUUCGGAUUUACUGGGCGUAAAGGGCGCGUAGGCGGCCCUGCAAGUCAGUUGUGAAAUCUCCGGGCUUAACCCGGAAAGGUCAACUGAUACUGCAGGGCUAGAGUGCAGAAGGGGCAACUGGAAUUCUCGGUGUAGCGGUGAAAUGCGUAGAUAUCGAGAGGAACACCUGCGGCGAAGGCGGGUUGCUGGGCCGACACUGACGCUGAUGCGCGAAAGCCAGGGGAGCGAACGGG